AUGGGCGCCUUGGAGCAGAGACCAGAGCAACUUGAUGGCAGGAGCAAGGCCGGCUCCAUGCGCAGGCACCUCACGGAGGCCACGGCGGAGGCUGGAAGUGGUGAUUUGAGGCCGCAGCUCGGUGAUUUUUUAGCACAUCAGGCGGCUUGUGCUGCUGCAGGAGACGGGGAUAAGUCGAUAAGGGCACAACAACGGAGGCGGCUGCUCGAGCUCGGCCACGGCGGAGGCGUUGCGACACCGGGGCGGCUCAGAGGCACCGACCACUUCAAGCUCGGGCCAAGACGAAGCCGGCAGGUGGCAGAGCCGGGACAGCUGGCCCCUGGCCGCAGGAGGCUCGUGACGAGGCCAAGGCAGCUCGGUGGCGGAGCGUCGAGGCGGUUUCGCCGGUUCGAGGUGCGGCUGCAACCACACGACGGUAGUGACAAAGGAGUCCGGAAGUCGGCCAUGGACGCAGAGAUGCAGAGGUUUGGUGCAGGGCCUCGGCGGCUCAUGGAGGCCGCGGGGUUGCGGUAG
This 513-nucleotide ribosomal RNA is filed under the name Triticum aestivum (bread wheat). RNAcentral's name for it is "partial small subunit ribosomal RNA". Lineage: Eukaryota; Viridiplantae; Streptophyta; Magnoliopsida; Poales; Poaceae. The record is from RNAcentral.